Molecule: long non-coding RNA, 1052 nt
Organism: Alexandromys fortis (reed vole)
Lineage: Eukaryota; Metazoa; Chordata; Mammalia; Rodentia; Cricetidae
Exons: 2
Source: RefSeq, a predicted model, not a curated record
ACCAAAUAACAUUAUUUUCAAGGAAAAUAUAAUUAAAAUAGAAUUUUAAAAGGGUCUGAGGAGUCUGGGGAGAUAGUUCAGUGGGUAAAGUGCUUGCUGUAUGCAAAUAAGGACCUAAGUCCUCACAGCUGUCUGAUUUGUAACCACAGUACUGGGGGCGGGGACCAGAGAGCAGAUCCUUGGGACUUGAUGAUCAGUUAGCCUAGCCAAUGGAUGAGCUCCAGGUUAAGAAAGAAGCUUGGGUGUGGUGGCACCUGCCUUUAAUCCUAGCACCCAGAGGCAGAGGCAAGUGGGUCAUCGUGAGUUCAAGGCUAGCCUAGUUUAUAUAAAGAGAUUGAGACUGGCCAGGGCUACUUAAUGAGAUCUUGUCUGGGAAAAGAAAAUGGUGAUGGGACCAGAGAGAUGACUCAGCAUUGAGCAGUUAAGGGCACUUGCUCUUCUUUCUGAAGACCUUGGCUUGGUUUCCAGCACCCACAUCAGGUGAUUUCAACUUCAGGGGAAAGACACAAAUACAUGUACACCUAAUUACAUAAAAAAAUAAAUAAUAAAAAAUAAGGUGGAGGGCAUCAGAGGAAAAUAAGGAUAAUAAUCUGUGGCCUCCUCAUAUGCACAUGUCUAUGUGUAGGCAAAUGUGCUCACACAUGCACCCAUCACACACACAUACACUAUACAUAUGAUUAUACCACACAAUACACCAUACACAUAUAUACCAUAUUACAUACAUUACACACAUGUAUCCACCACACAUGUGCAUCCACCAUAUACAUGCAUAUAUGAUGUGGGAAUGAUUUCUUACUAAUAAAGAAACUGCCUUGGCCCAUUUUAUUGGAUAGAAAAUUAGGUAGGCGGAGUAUACAGAAGAGAAUUCUGGGAGAAAGAAGGUUAGAGGAAGAGUCGCCAUGAUUCUCCCGCUCCAGACAGACGCAGGUUAAGAUCCUCUCUGGUAAGCCAGCUCAUGGGCUACACAGAAUAUUAGAAAUGGGUUAGAACAAUAUGUAAGAGCUAGCCAAUAAGAAACUGGACCUAGCCGGGUCAGGCAGUGUUUGAAAGAA